Molecule: long non-coding RNA, 2265 nt
Organism: Heterocephalus glaber (naked mole-rat)
Lineage: Eukaryota; Metazoa; Chordata; Mammalia; Rodentia; Bathyergidae
Source: Ensembl
CAUGUCCUUUCUCCUUCAGGGGAACAUCAGCCAACUGAGACAACCAAUCACUCUGGGCUUCAAGUAAACAUAACCUAUAGGAGCCUUUGGAAGGAUCCCCUGAAUUUCUUGCUACCCAGCCCAAAGAUCUGGGUGUGCCUGCUGCCAGAAAAGCAGCUGCCAGAGCCCCCCACUGCCUGAAUGGUGUCAGUCCAGUACUCCUCUUGGAAUGUCAAUUAAUAAGAAAGGAGGUUGUCUGGGUGCAUUGGAAGAGCAACCAACGCUCUCAGGGAUGGAGGAAAAUGAGCUGCAGAUGGUUUCCUUAAUGGGUACUUUGAGCUCAUGGAAGAAAUAAGUGCAAAGAGUGAGGAGCCACUGUCUUGCAGGCCAGUCUCUUGAGAGAAAAACACAAACUCCUGGAGACAGGUGAAGUACACAGAGCUGUGCAGUUGCCUGGAAGAAAGAGGAUGCAAACGGAGGUUACAGUGGCUGCUCCUGGGGCUGCUAUUGUCCACACUGUUGCCAGGGGACCACCUCCACUUCUACUUCCUGGAAGGAGGAGCUGCAGUCACCAGAGGUCAGAAGCCCAUGGCUGCUCCUUGCUACUAAGAGGACCCUGCAGGGAUUUCUAGGAACCAGAUACGAGCUACCUGUACUGUUUCCUGUCCUGAAGGCUUUCUCCUGGGCCCCACUAAGUUUACCAAUCAGAGAAAGUCAGAUGCUUGUGUUCUCCUGGAAAGAAACAAUGGCUGCCAGUCCCCUCCCCUCCUGUGGUGACGGAGAGCAGUGGGUGCUCCAUGACGACCAGUGAGGAGAGAUGACAUUCAGAGAUCUCCAUUGUCCUCUUUUCAGAGAUGACAGCUGAGAGCUACCUCAGAACAUGGGGAGAAUAAGUCCUUCAUUCCUGAAGAGGGAUCUGGGUGCAGGUCCCAGGGUCUCCCACAGUCACCCAUUAAGAAAGGACAGUGGAACUGUCUCCUCAAUCCUCUACCACAAGCCCUUUCCUUUGUCAUCAAGUCUCUGCCUGAUAGAAGGGCUCAAGUCAUCUCCAUGACUGACAUUCCAAACCAUCCUGGCAUACCUGGCAAGCCGAAGGGAUGAGGGUUGGACAAGAGCUCAACUGCAGGGCUGCAAGUGAGACUGUCCUCCUCUGCAGCACUCAGAAAGAACAGAACUCACUCCUGCCCACAGGCUGGAUAAUCCUUCACUCAGAAUCCAAAAUCUGACGUGAUUUCACUUCACUCUCUCACCAACCCAUCCCUGCUGACCUGGCUGGUCCUAUCUUGUCACUGCAGGACCCAGAAUCUAGAACUUACACAUCACAGAAUCUUAUGGAAAUUAGUAAUCAUUUUCCACUGAGGAGUUGAGACCCACAAGCAGGGUGGCUUCUCAAUACCAUGUAAUAUCUCAUCUGAGGAUGCAAAGCUGGUUCAAGAAGAGGUGGGACUAGAGCCCAUGUCUCCUGACUCCAAGAUUUUGGCAUUGGGCACCAUCCAGGCACCAUGGCAACAAGCAACCCUGCUUGAUCUGGUAUCCCUCUCUACUCUCUUCUCUGUGCCCAGCCUCACAUACAUCUCAAACAGUACCAACUCUCACCUCCACCUGCAAAGUUCUUCUUCCCCUUUGCUUUGUUAAUUCUUGCUCAUUCUUCUGAUGACUCCCUAGAAAGCUUUUCCAGACUUCCCUAGUCCCACUCUACUCUCCUUUUUCCUCUCCAAACACCCUGCAUUCAUCCAUCAUGUACACAACUCUCAGUGAGAUCUAUCAUUGUGCAAUUGUUUAUUCAAUGUAUGCCUGAAAGAAUACGAGCUCCAUGACAAGGGUACGAGAGCUGCCUUAUUCACCAGCACAACCUGUUAUGGUUUAGAUGUCCCCACAAAGCCUCAUGUGGUCAUAAGAGGCUUUUGCAGAGGUGGCUGAAUCUAGAAUAUGUGAUGCUGGGACUAAGGGUGUGUGAUUACUAAACCUGUACACUGAUUGGUUUGGCACCACCCUAAUCCUGGUAGUCUGGAUGAGAUAAAAGGGACAGAAAGGUCCCUUGUUAAGGUCCCUUGUUGCUUUUGCUACUGUGUGGGUGCCAUGAACAGUUUCUCUUCUCCAACACCUCUCUGUCACGUGCCACUCUGCCUUGCAGCCAGUUGACUAUGGACUAAAAUCUCUACAAACUAUGAGCUAAAUAAACCCUUUCCCCUUUAACUUUGAGUUCCAGGUAUUAUGUCUCAUCAAUGAGAAAAGUAACUAACACACCUCCCAGAAGGAAUAACACAGCACCCAGAAGGAAUAAAC